ACUCCGUAGGUGAACCUGCGGAGGGAUCAUUACAGAGUUCAUGCCCUACCGGGUAGAUCUCCCACCCUAUGUUAUUAUUACUUUGUUGCUUUGGCGGGCCGUUAGGCUCCGGCCCGACUACCGGCCCCGGCUGGUAAGCGCCCGCCAGAGGACCAAAACCCUGAAUAUUAGUGUCGUCUGAGUACUAUAUAAUAGUUAAAACUUUCAACAACGGAUCUCUUGGUUCUG
RNAcentral lists this unclassified non-coding RNA (228 nucleotides) under plant metagenome. RNAcentral describes it as "partial contains small subunit ribosomal RNA, internal transcribed spacer 1, and 5.8S ribosomal RNA". The record is from RNAcentral.